This 1296-nucleotide ribosomal RNA is filed under the name Drieschia cf. elegans BG-2021. RNAcentral's name for it is "16S ribosomal RNA". It matches the Rfam family "Bacterial large subunit ribosomal RNA", at positions 565 to 2762 of the family's 2925-position model. The record is from RNAcentral. Lineage: Eukaryota; Metazoa; Annelida; Polychaeta; Phyllodocida; Polynoidae.
UAUAACUAUAAUCUCGUAUACCCUAAAAAAUUGAACCAUCCCUUCCUCUUCACCCGGGAACCUCUCUCUUAAUUCAUUGACCGUAAGGGAAAAAAUUUAUCUCUCAUAGUUUAACUUAUCAUUAGUACCUUUUGCAUCAUGGUUAAGCAAGUUCUACUCAAAUAAGCCCAAACCCGAAGUCUAAGUGAGCUAUUUAUUGUCUGUUUUGAACCCAAAGAUUAGUGUAGCAACACUUUCUCUAGAUCAAUAUAUAGAGGCUACAUACCUUCCGCACAAGACUAUAGCUGGUUAUUCCCUAGUAUCAUCUAAGUGACAAUAUCUGCCCAGAUUAUCUAAUUAAUUUAGGAUAAGCUAAAUUAAAUCUCUUGAUUUUUCAUCUUAAAGUAUAUCCCUGUUGGUAGGCUUAAAAUCAGCCAUCUUACCCAAUACGUUUCAGCCCAAAUUUUUCUAACCCUAAAAAUUAUAUUAUCCCCUAAAUAAGAUUUAAUAAAUGAAUAAUUUAAUCAAACCUACUUUUUAUUUUUAUUCUGCUUAAAUUAGUAUUCAUUUAUAAACUUAAUUCCAUAACCCUAUAAACCCUCUCCCCUUUGCUCAAUUCUCUUAUAUAUAAUUAGUGAACUCUGCAAUCUUUAUUAGCCCGACUGUUUAUCAAAAACAUUGCCUCUAGAGCACUUAUUAGAGGUCCAUCCUGCCCAGUGAUUAAUUUUUAACGGCCGCGGUAUCCUGACCGUGCAAAGGUAGCAUAAUCAUUUGCCUUUUAAUUGAAGGCUAGAAUGAACGGACAAACGAGGUUACCCCUUUACCAAUUAUAUCUCUUAAAACUUAAGUCUCAGGUGAAGACGCCUGAAUAAAAUAGAAAGACAAGAAGACCCUAUAGAGUUUUAGUAUAUUAAUCCUAUUCAUUAAUUUUAUAUACUUUGGUUGGGGCGACCAAGGAUUAUUACCAACAUCCUUAAUUUUAAAGACUAUAAUUCUUUCUCUAGACCCUUCUCCUAGAUCAUCAGAAUUAACUACCUUAGGGAUAACAGGCUUAUCUUCCUAAAGAGCUCAAAUUGAAAGGAAGGUUUGGCACCUCGAUGUUGGCUUAGAGAAACUUCUAAAUGCAGCAGUUUAGAAAAGUUAGUUUGUUCAACUAUUAAAUCUCUACAUGAGCUGAGUUCAGACCGGCGUAAGCCAGGUUAGUUUCUAUCUUCUAUUUCCCAUUUACUAGAUAUAUUAGUACGAAAGGACCAUACUAUCUUAAAUCUCUUUAUUCUCCUAGAUCUCCUCUAACCUCCUCUUAUCUUAUUCAUUCUU